GACGAACGCUGGCGGCGUGCUUAACACAUGCAAGUCGAGCGGAGAGGCGAACGGGUGAGUAACGCGUGAGUAACUGCCCCCCUCUCUGGGAUAACAGUUGGAAACGGCUGCUGAUACCGGAUAGUGGGGGAUGACUCGCGUCCUAUCGGCUUGUUGGUGGGGUAGUGGCCUACCAAGGGUACGACGGGUAGCCGGCCGGAGAGGGCGACCGGACACAUUGGGCUCAGUUACGGCCCAAACUCUGACGGUAUGAAGCAGUGGGGAAUAGUGCACAAUUGGGGAAACCCUGAUGCAGCAACGCCGCGUGCGGGAUGACUGCCGUCUGGUUGUAACCCGCUUUCAGCCAUGACGCGGUAUUGGCAGAAGAAGCACCGGCUAACUACGUGCCAGCAGCCGCGGUAAUUC
RNAcentral lists this ribosomal RNA (405 nucleotides) under uncultured bacterium. Its description in RNAcentral is "partial 16S ribosomal RNA". It matches the Rfam family "Bacterial small subunit ribosomal RNA", at positions 28 to 526 of the family's 1533-position model. The record is from RNAcentral.